GUGCCAGCCGCCGCGGUAAGACGAGUCUCACGAACGUUAUUCGGAAUUACUGGGCUUAAAGGGUGCGUAGGCGGUGGAGUAAGUCGGAUGUGAAAUACCUUAGCUUAACUAGGGAACUGCACUCGAUACUACUUUGCUAGAGUAAGACAGAGGUGAGUGGAACUGAGGGUGGAGCGGUGAAAUGCGUUGAUAUCCUCAGGAACACCGGUGGCGAAGGCGACUCACUGGGUCUUUACUGACGCUGAUGCACGAAAGCUAGGGUAGCAAACGGGAUUAGAUACCCCGGUAGUCC
This 292-nucleotide ribosomal RNA is filed under the name uncultured bacterium. Its description in RNAcentral is "partial 16S ribosomal RNA". It matches the Rfam family "Bacterial small subunit ribosomal RNA", at positions 505 to 796 of the family's 1533-position model. The record is from RNAcentral.